RNAcentral lists this unclassified non-coding RNA (964 nucleotides) under Hevea brasiliensis (rubber tree). The record is from RNAcentral. Lineage: Eukaryota; Viridiplantae; Streptophyta; Magnoliopsida; Malpighiales; Euphorbiaceae.
UGAUGCUACGGAAGCGUCAAAAAGAAUAUAAAAUCUCAAUAUCCAUUAAGUCCCCUGAGCUUAAAUUUGAGAUUAUGGUACUGAAUACAAACCACAUAACGUGCAGGACAUUGUUAGGUGGCCUUCUUCAUCAUAUGAUGAGCAAAUGGAUUCUUUUCCCUUAACUUUAAGCAAAUGUUAAUCGCUGCAAAUCUACCAACUCCAUCUUCACCCAAAUGUUAUUCUCCACGUGUAGCUGAUGAGUGUUUUAUAACAACUUCAAGUGACACACCAGGGCAACUCUCUGUCAUAAUCUUGAAAAUUUGAAAUACCCAUUUGAAGAAGUUCAUGAAGAAGGAAGAAGAAAAGAUUGUUACAGUAUCAGAAAUUGGAGAGAAGAGGCCGCAGGAACUGCAGGAAGAACAAUCUGCAGCCAUUAUAUGGGACUGUGGGAGUCCUUUAUAUGAUUCAUAUGAGUUAGCUUCACUUAGUCAUCUGAUUGACAGGAACAUGAUGGCCUUGCCAUUUCCCUGUGGAUCAAAAAGGUUCAAUAUUUACCAAUCUAAUUUUCCAAGGGAAGAAAAGGGUCUCAACAUGAUCAACCAGGAAGGGUUUCAACAAGAGGGAUUAUUGUCCAAAUUGAUGAGUAGUUACUCCUGGAAGAGGACAAGGGACAAGGAAAGGAAUGAGAAAACCAGAAAGGCCAGUUGCAGAUUUUAUAGUCUCUGUAGAAUGAUUGGUUUAUGCAGGAAAAAAAGCUGCGAAAGUUGAGAAAAUCAUGCAAGGAAAUUUAAUUAUUUAAAUUUGUGUGUGUGUAUAUUAUUUUCUAUCUUCCUUUUUUUUUUUUUUCCAGGCUAAUUAUGGAAUAUUCAUUUGAAGACUUGUAAUUUCUGUUUCUCAUAGGGGAAAAUAAAAACAUUGUAAUUUAUUGAGUUUUCAAGGUAUCUCAUUGUAAUUUGGGUUUGUCUUGCUGAGUUAAUUUGUG